Long non-coding RNA from Pristis pectinata (smalltooth sawfish), 254 nucleotides. RefSeq lists it as uncharacterized. The record is from RefSeq and is a predicted model, not a curated record. Lineage: Eukaryota; Metazoa; Chordata; Chondrichthyes; Rhinopristiformes; Pristidae. The transcript is spliced from 3 exons.
ACAACUACUUUGAGGUGGAGCUGAGCUCAUGGGGAGGCAGAGACAACCAGAGUGGGCCACCCACACACAAACUGCGCAGCUUAAGCCAGGCCUGGCUCAGGAAGUGGAUACAAAAGUUCAAGGACCACAUCCAAGGUGCCGCACGGUCUCUGAAGGCCGGGAACACACUGAGCGCCACCAUCCCCGUCUCCCCCAGCACCGACCCCCGCGGGCACCACAAGGUGAACCAGAGACCUGGGAAGGCGUCUGCCCUG